UAGGGAAUCUUCGGCAAUGGGGGGAACCCUGACCGAGCAACGCCGCGUGAGUGAAGAAGGUUUUCGGAUCGUAAAGCUCUGUUGUUAAGGAAGAACGAGUGUGAGAAUGGAAAGUUCAUACUGUGACGGUACUUAACCAGAAAGGGACGGCUAACUACGUGCCAGCAGCCGCGGUAAUACGUAGGUCCCGAGCGUUGUCCGGAUUUAUUGGGCGUAAAGCGAGCGCAGGCGGUCAAUUAAGUCUGAUGUGAAAGCCCCCGGCUCAACCGGGGAGGGUCAUUUGAAACUGGUUGACUUGAGUGCAGAAGAGGAGAGUGGAAUUCCAUGUGUAGCGGUGAAAUGCGUAGAUAUAUGGAGGAACACCAGUGGCGAAGGCGACUCUCUGGUCUGUAACUGACGCUGAGGCUCGAAAGCGUGGGUAGCAAACAGG
RNAcentral lists this ribosomal RNA (430 nucleotides) under Bacteroidota bacterium. RNAcentral describes it as "Bacteroidetes bacterium partial 16S ribosomal RNA". It matches the Rfam family "Bacterial small subunit ribosomal RNA", at positions 355 to 776 of the family's 1533-position model. The record is from RNAcentral. Lineage: Bacteria; Pseudomonadati; Bacteroidota.